GAUGAACGCUGGCGGCGUGCCUAAUACAUGCAAGUCGAGCGAACGGACGAGAAGCUUGCUUCUCUGAUGUUAGCGGCGGACGGGUGAGUAACACGUGGAUAACCUACCUAUAAGACUGGGAUAACUUCGGGAAACCGGAGCUAAUACCGGAUAAUAUUUUGAACCGCAUGGUUCAAAAGUGAAAGACGGUCUUGCUGUCACUUAUAGAUGGAUCCGCGCUGCAUUAGCUAGUUGGUAAGGUAACGGCUUACCACGGCAACGAUGCAUAGCCGACCUGAGAGGGUGAUCGGCCACACUGGAACUGAGACACGGUCCAGACUCCUACGGGAGGCAGCAGUAGGGAAUCUUCCGCAAUGGGCGAAAGCCUGACGGAGCAACGCCGCGUGAGUGAUGAAGGUCUUCGGAUCGUAAAACUCUGUUAUUAGGGAAGAACAUAUGUGUAAGUAACUGUGCACAUCUUGACGGUACCUAAUCAGAAAGCCACGGCUAACUACGU
Molecule: ribosomal RNA, 496 nt
Filed under: uncultured bacterium
Lineage: Bacteria
Description: partial 16S ribosomal RNA
Rfam family: Bacterial small subunit ribosomal RNA
Source: RNAcentral